GCUCGGUUAGCUCAGGGGUAGAGCACCACAUUGACAUUGUGGGGGUCGCAGGUUCAAAUCCCGCAUCGAGCACCA
Molecule: transfer RNA, 75 nt
Filed under: Roseibacillus ishigakijimensis
Lineage: Bacteria; Pseudomonadati; Verrucomicrobiota; Verrucomicrobiia; Verrucomicrobiales; Verrucomicrobiaceae
Also listed under: 1 other name
Description: tRNA-Val
Rfam family: tRNA
About the family: Transfer RNA (tRNA) molecules are approximately 80 nucleotides in length.
Source: RNAcentral